RNAcentral lists this ribosomal RNA (497 nucleotides) under uncultured bacterium. Its description in RNAcentral is "partial 16S ribosomal RNA". It matches the Rfam family "Bacterial small subunit ribosomal RNA", at positions 28 to 507 of the family's 1533-position model. The record is from RNAcentral.
GAUGAACGCUGGCGGCGUGCCUAAUACAUGCAAGUCGAGCGAACAGACGAGGAGCUUGCUCCUCUGACGUUAGCGGCGGACGGGUGAGUAACACGUGGAUAACCUACCUAUAAGACUGGGAUAACUUCGGGAAACCGGAGCUAAUACCGGAUAAUAUAUUGAACCGCAUGGUUCAAUAGUGAAAGACGGUUUUGCUGUCACUUAUAGAUGGAUCCGCGCCGCAUUAGCUAGUUGGUAAGGUAACGGCUUACCAAGGCGACGAUGCGUAGCCGACCUGAGAGGGUGAUCGGCCACACUGGAACUGAGACACGGUCCAGACUCCUACGGGAGGCAGCAGUAGGGAAUCUUACGCAAAGGGCGAGAGCCUGACGGAGCAACGCCGCGUGAGUGAUGAAGGUCUUCGGAUCGUAAAACUCUGUUAUUAGGGAAGAACAAAUGUGUAAGUACCUAUGCACGUCUUGACGGUACCUAAUCAGAAAGCCACGGCUAACUACGUG